This 497-nucleotide ribosomal RNA is filed under the name uncultured bacterium. RNAcentral describes it as "partial 16S ribosomal RNA". It matches the Rfam family "Bacterial small subunit ribosomal RNA", at positions 28 to 507 of the family's 1533-position model. The record is from RNAcentral.
GAUGAACGCUGGCGGCGUGCCUAACACAUGCAAGUCGAGCGAACAGACGAGGAGCUUGCUCCUCUGACGUUAGCGGCGGACGGGUGUGUAACACGUGGAAAACCUACCUAUAAGACUGGGAAAACUUCGGGAAACCGGAGCUAAUACCGGAUGAUAUCUUGAUCCGUAUGGUUCAAUAGUGAAAGACGGCUUUGCUGUCACUUAUAGCUGCAUUCGCGCCGCAUUAGCUAGUUGGUAAGGUAACGGCUUACCAAGGCAACUAUGCGUAACCGACCUCAGAGGGGGGUCGCCCACACGGGCAGUGAACCACGGUCCAGACUCCUGCGGUAGGGAGCAGUAGAGAAUCGGCCGCAAUGGGGGAGAACCUGACGGAGUAACGCGGCGUGAGAGAUGAAGAUCUGGAGUUCGGAAAGCUCUGUUAUUAGGUAAGAACAAAUGUGUAAGUAGCAGAGCACUUAUUGACGGUACCUGGUCAAAAAGCCACGGCUAACUACGUG